UACGGAGGGAGCGAACGUUGUUCGGAUUUACUGGGCGUAAAGGGUGUGUAGGCGGUCUUGCAAGUCAGGGGUGAAAUCUCUCGGCUCAACCGAGAAACUGCCUUUGAGACUGCAGGACUUGAGGGCGUGAGAGGAGACUGGAAUUCCUAGUGUAGCGGUGAAAUGCAUAGAUAUUAGGAGGAACAUCAGUGGCGAAAGCGACUUCCUGGACCAAUACUGACGCUCAUGUGCGAAAGCGUGGGGAGCAAACAGG
RNAcentral lists this ribosomal RNA (253 nucleotides) under uncultured bacterium. Its description in RNAcentral is "partial 16S ribosomal RNA". It matches the Rfam family "Bacterial small subunit ribosomal RNA", at positions 524 to 776 of the family's 1533-position model. The record is from RNAcentral.